AAGAUCCCUCGAAGAUGACGAGGUAGAUAGGUCCGAGGUGGAAGCGUGGCGACACGUGGAGCUGACGGAUACUAAUCGAUCGAGGACUUAACCAA
RNAcentral lists this ribosomal RNA (95 nucleotides) under Paranoxybacillus vitaminiphilus. RNAcentral describes it as "Anoxybacillus vitaminiphilus partial 23S ribosomal RNA". It matches the Rfam family "Bacterial large subunit ribosomal RNA", at positions 2830 to 2925 of the family's 2925-position model. Lineage: Bacteria; Bacillati; Bacillota; Bacilli; Caryophanales; Anoxybacillaceae. The record is from RNAcentral.